Osmerus eperlanus (European smelt) is the source of this 1363-nucleotide long non-coding RNA. RefSeq lists it as uncharacterized. The transcript has 3 exons. Lineage: Eukaryota; Metazoa; Chordata; Actinopteri; Osmeriformes; Osmeridae. The record is from RefSeq and is a predicted model, not a curated record.
ACAACAUAGGCCCAUGCACCGACCCAAAGAACACCUCUACACACCAGCAGGAACAAAUACCCUAGCUCACGAAGUCAAAAGGCAGAUGACGAAGAAAGUGCGCGGUGCACUUUUUAGCAGAUCUUUAAACCUGUAUUCCGCGUUAUGUCCUCUGAACAACCAGACCAGAUGACUUGUAUAACAGCGGAAGCAUCGUUACAUUCCAGUGAGGACAACCGUUUCCGCUCAAAAGGGGAUGGAUUAAAACGAGCUGGGUAGCCAAUCUAUUCACUCAUAUGAAGUACCGCCCCAAAUUGUACACUGUACAUUGGCUGCUCAUUCAUUGGUAUGAACCACAGCCAUAAAAACGAGCUGAGUAGCCAAUCUAUUCACUCAUAUGAAGUACCGCCCCGAAUUGUACACUGUACAUUGGCUGAUCAUUCAUUGGUGUGAAACAGAGCCAUUUCUCUCUAUGGCUUUGGUAUGAACCAAACUUCAUUGACAUUCCCAAAAGGUCCGCCUUAUUUCAUUUACGUAUAGUCUAAUUGGUCCAAACGUCAAAUGUAUUAUACAUUAGACAAGACGACCGUACUGUAAAGACAAGCAGUUGCCAGAAGAAAAAUAUUAAUCGGGCUGGACCUCAGGGUCAAAACUUUCAAAUUGAAGUUAGCAGUAGCCUACAGCAGUCAUCAGGAAUCUGAAGAAGUUCAAGUAAACUUGACCUUGGAAGUCUUCGUUUUCGUUUAUUUAUGUAGUCGACAGUACUUAAAAGCAACGGCCCAACAUAUGGGCCUUGAAUAAUUAUGAAGUAAUUAAGCUACAUAUUUUUUUUACUGCAAGUAGUCUAAACAUUGUCUGCCUCGGAUCAAACAUAGACAAUUAGAGCUAAUACACGAAGAGAACAUUUUAGUCUACCAACUGGAACAAAGUUCUUGACUGGGAGGUGACUGUUUCUAUGGAAACAGACAGACACAGAAAAGUAAUGGCGGUCCUACACUGGAGUUGUCAAGAUGUAGCUGAAUGGAUAGAAUCUCUGGGAUAUCCACAUUAUACAGCUUGUUUCUCUCAGAACCUCAUUACAGGUAGAAAGCUGAUUUAUGUAAAUUGCUCAUAUCUGCCAAGAUUAGGAAUCACAGACUUUGAGGAUAUGAAGGUCAUCUCGUCUCAUGUCCGGGAGCUGCUGGGGGUCACGGAGCCGCUGUGGAGCCGCAGCAUAGCAGACCUCCCCCGGGACAACAUGGGCCUGUUCCUAGAGAAGAAGAGCCGGACUGGAGACUGGGCCGAUUCCCUCACUUACUCACAGUUUCUCAAAGACAUAAAACAGUGAAACGGCACGUUGCAUGCUUGAAAUGAUCAAUUAAACAGACAUGGUGAUUAAAAUUGA